RNAcentral lists this transfer RNA (63 nucleotides) under unidentified. RNAcentral describes it as "Epeorus sp. 05 ZXM-2022a tRNA-Met". The record is from RNAcentral.
AGUAAGGUAAGCUAAUUUAAGCUCACAGGUUCAUACCCUGUUUAUGGUUUCGACCCCUUUCUA